RNAcentral lists this ribosomal RNA (410 nucleotides) under uncultured bacterium. RNAcentral describes it as "bacterial SSU rRNA". It matches the Rfam family "Bacterial small subunit ribosomal RNA", at positions 97 to 518 of the family's 1533-position model. The record is from RNAcentral.
GGCGGACGGGUGGAGUAACGACGUGAGCAACCUACGCCUCUGAGAGAGGGAGUAGCUUCUGGAAACGGAUGGUAAUACCUCAUAAUAUAGCUGGACCGCAUGAUCCGGUUACCAAAGAUUUAUCACUCAGAGAUGGGCUCGCGUCUGAUUAGCUAGUUGGUGAGGUAACGGCUCACCAAGGCGACGAUCAGUAGCCGGACUGAGAGGUUGAACGGCCACAUUGGGACUGAGACACGGCCCAGACUCCUACGGGAGGCAGCAGUGAGGGAUAUUGCACAAUGGAGGAAACUUCCUGAUGCAGCGAUGCCGCGUGGAGGAAGAAGGUUUUCGGAUUGUAAACUCCUGUUUCGAGGGACGAUAAUGACGGUACCUCGGGAGGAAGCUCCGGCUAACUACGUGCCAGCCGCGGC